RNAcentral lists this ribosomal RNA (292 nucleotides) under uncultured bacterium. Its description in RNAcentral is "partial 16S ribosomal RNA". It matches the Rfam family "Bacterial small subunit ribosomal RNA", at positions 505 to 796 of the family's 1533-position model. The record is from RNAcentral.
GUGUCAGCAGCCGCGGUAAUACGUAGGGUGCAAGCGUUAUCCGGAUCCACUGGGUUUAAAGGGUGCGUAGGUGGGCAGGUAAGUCAGUGGUGAAAUCUCCGGGCUUAACUCGGAAACUGCCAUUGAUACUAUCUUUCUUGAAUACCGUGGAGGCCAGCGGAAUAUGUCAUGUAGCGGUGAAAUGCUUAGAUAUGACCUAGAACACCAAUUGCGAAGGCAGCUGGCUACACGAAUAUUGACACUGAUGCACGAAAGCGUGGGGAUCAAACAGGAUUAGAUACCCCGGUAGUCC